CACAGGCAAUCCACUCAAUUGUGACUGCAGUAUCUUUCCAUUCUGGUCAUGGGUAAUUAAAAGAUCACACAUUGGAACCAGUGCGAAAUGUAGCAACGGAACAUUAGUUACAUCACUGCAGUCAACUCCACUAGAAACAUGUAAUCCUGAUAACUGCCAAUGUUUCAAUGGUGGGAAAUGUGUGGCAAUGGGCAAUGAUUUUUUUUGUGACUGUAUAGGAUCAUGGACCGGCAAAUGUUGUCAAGAAAGUCAGUGUACUUCGUUUGACUGUGGAUUUAGUGACUGUUAUAUAGAGCAUGUGAAUGGUACAGCUCAGUGCUUAUGUGACGACAUAUAUGUUAACUAUUGUCCUAGUAAGUCGUGGUAUGUUUAAUUCAUGUUAAUAUUAAAUAUUGUACUUCAUUUGUUUUAUUGCAUUAAAUGUAACUAGCACAACUUGCAUAUAGAACAAACAAACCAUAGAAAAAUAUUAUGUUACAUCCUACAAAUACCAUCCAUAUGAAUGUUCGUUUCAAAGAAGUUACUUAACUAAUAUUACGAGUGAAUACUAUAUGUUAUCAGUACAAGGUAAUAUGAUGAUCGCUUGAAUUCUUGAAUUCAUCUAUUUAAUACACAUGUAUGUGCUUUCAUAGACUCACUGAGUCCUAUAUUUUGCAGUUUUAUCUUGACUCUAUAUUGUCCACGUCUCAAUGCAAACUAACAGAACCAGCUUUGUAUGUACACAUAACGUGUUGCAUGUUUUUAGAAU
Mytilus californianus (California mussel) is the source of this 748-nucleotide long non-coding RNA. RefSeq lists it as uncharacterized. The transcript has 3 exons. Lineage: Eukaryota; Metazoa; Mollusca; Bivalvia; Mytilida; Mytilidae. The record is from RefSeq and is a predicted model, not a curated record.